UCCACGCCGCCACCCUUCAUUCAAAAAGAAAGAAACAAACGAAAGGGAAGAACAGAGAGGGGACAUGAAAACAGGGAAGAAAGAAAACAAAAGAGGAAAACGGAGAUUAGAGGGAGAAGAGGGGGGAAGGAAGUCGUCGCGCCUAUCCACUUGUCGCCGUCGUCCGAGGAGCUUCCAUGGACGCUGCUGUCGAGCUCGUAGGUGAGAAAAAGAGAGUUCACGUGGGACGGAGGAACGUGUUGCACCGCCGUUCAUCGCUGCUCAGCCACCACCGCACCUUAUUGACGUCGUCAGAGCCACCCAGUAGCCGUCGCGAGUUGCCCAGUAGCCGCCGUCGUCUUCACGACCCGUCGCUGUCGCCAGGGUCGUGCCACCGUCAUGUCUCAUCGGCGUUGAAGGAGUCAUCAUCGAAUGGAGCAGGGAGAGAGAAAGAGCUGCGAAAGAGAGAAAAGGAGGUGGCGGAGACCUUUGCCGCCGCUGCUCCCGUCACUGUUGCCGUAGGAGGAGCUCGCCGUCACUGGAGGGGCCAGCGUCGCGUUCUUGCUGCUUUGAGCCACCAGCGCCACUGCUGUUGCUCCAAAAUUCUACUUCUGUUUCUUAGGAUUUGCUAUCUCAGCCCCCUUGAAGUUACCGUCGGUUCUGUCCUUGCGAGUGAGGGUCACCAGAGCUGCUGCAAUUCCAGUCUUUUGUUUCUCUGCUAAGGUUAUUCUGUUGCGCCUUGUCUCGCUAUAAUGUUUCAUUAAUUAACUCUGUCCUACUUUACAUAAAUGUUCUUUUGUAUCCUUACUCAGCCUUAAACCAUAAUAGAUUAUUAGAUUUACCGUUGUUACCGUUUUGUAGCUACCUCGCGGUGUUUUUCCAUCGUUGUUGUUGCUGGAAGAGGCAGUCGAAGUGGCUGCCAUGAAUUAAAAUGAAAGGGAGUUGUUACAAUAGGUUUAUGCGAACUCGGCUAAUCGAGAGUUGUUGUGGUUGCUGCGUACGGUUUGGAAUUGAGGCUGCAGCUGCCACUGAUUGCGGACCGAAAAGAAAGGGUUUCUUGAUGCAUUUAGUUUGAGUUUUGAUUAUUCGAGCUUUACCUUUUCAGGAAACCGGAUGAAGACGCAUUAAGAAGAGUUAAACUGGCGUUUGGUUUAUAUGUUGUUGUAUUAAUUAGAUUAUUUUCUUCCCUCGUCUUUGUUAUUACAAGUUUUUAUAAGAGGGAUAGGAGUUGUAUGUUUUAUAUGUAUAUUAUAUUAUAAGAUAUUAUGUACGGAGUCUUGUAUAUGAAUCUGUGCCGCUUGUAUUUUUGUUAAGAUAAAGUAUUUAUUUCCGAUUUUAAAAGAAAUUAGCGAUACGGUGUCGAGUCAUAGGCUCCUAUUUUAAUAUUAAGUAGAUAAAGUAGUCGUAAUACUUCUUGCUAUCAGAGUGGCGUAGCCGGAAGCGUGACAUUU
Arachis duranensis is the source of this 1430-nucleotide long non-coding RNA. RefSeq lists it as uncharacterized. The record is from RefSeq and is a predicted model, not a curated record. The transcript has 3 exons. NCBI's taxonomy places the organism in Eukaryota, Viridiplantae, Streptophyta, Magnoliopsida, Fabales, Fabaceae.